Molecule: transfer RNA, 63 nt
Filed under: bovine gut metagenome
Rfam family: tRNA
About the family: Transfer RNA (tRNA) molecules are approximately 80 nucleotides in length. Their secondary structure includes four short double-helical elements and three loops (D, anti-codon, and T loops). Further hydrogen bonds mediate the characteristic L-shaped molecular structure. tRNAs have two regions of fundamental functional importance: the anti-codon, which is responsible for specific mRNA codon recognition, and the 3' end, to which the tRNAs corresponding amino acid is attached (by aminoacyl-tRNA synthetases). tRNAs cope with the degeneracy of the genetic code in two manners: having more than one tRNA (with a specific anti-codon) for a particular amino acid; and 'wobble' base-pairing, i.e. permitting non-standard base-pairing at the 3rd anti-codon position.
Source: RNAcentral
CGUAGCUCAGCUGGAUAGAGCGUCCGCCUCCUAAGCGGAAGGUCGUGGGUUCGAAUCCCGCCG